This 223-nucleotide long non-coding RNA is filed under the name Penaeus monodon (black tiger shrimp). RNAcentral's name for it is "uncharacterized LOC119587561". Lineage: Eukaryota; Metazoa; Arthropoda; Malacostraca; Decapoda; Penaeidae. The record is from RNAcentral.
AAGAUGGCGAUCAAAGCUCUGUUGAUGGCGAUGAUGAUGUAUGCCCUCAUCCUCGUGGCCAAGAAAGCUGACAUGCCUGAUCAGCCUACCACUCCAUGUCCAAUGUCACAAACAUCCACGUAAAGUCUUAGAGUCCACGGCUUUCUCAGAACCUCGAAAUCCAGGAUCUAGAAUCUGCCUAAAUGUGAUGUAAAUCUCCAUAUUUUAAAUUAUAAUUGUAUAC